AGCAGUCGCCGCGGUAAUACGUAGGGUGCGAGCGUUAAUCGGAAUUACUGGGCGUAAAGCGUGCGCAGGCGGUUCGUUAAGACAGAUGUGAAAUCCCCGGGCUUAACCUGGGAACUGCAUUUGUGACUGGCGAGCUAGAGUAUGGCAGAGGGGGGUAGAAUUCCACGUGUAGCAGUGAAAUGCGUAGAGAUGUGGAGGAAUACCGAUGGCGAAGGCAGCCCCCUGGGCCAAUACUGACGCUCAUGCACGAAAGCGUGGGGAGCAAACAGGAUUAGAUACCCCUGUAGUCCCUGUCUCUUAUAC
Molecule: ribosomal RNA, 303 nt
Filed under: uncultured bacterium
Lineage: Bacteria
Description: partial 16S ribosomal RNA
Rfam family: Bacterial small subunit ribosomal RNA
Source: RNAcentral